CCCUAGCGCCGCCGCUCCGAUAUCCAUCGACGACGCAGCUCCGCCGCUAACGUCCACAGAUCAUAGUUUCUCUCCGCUUCUUCCAUCUACUCCUACCACAAUCUUUUCCAGCCACUUCCUGAAACUCCCAGGCCACUCCACCCUAGAUCGUUGAUCGAUGUCGUCGAUCUGGAAGUUCCCGUUUCGAGGGCAUGCCAGAAGGAAGAAUACCCCAGCCUGUGCGUGUGGUUGAGCCCAUAUGACCAAGCUACAGGCCCGUUCGAGGAUUGUUGCGGUCACUACUGUAAGCAACGGCUUUGUCGUGCUUCAGAUGCCCCCGGUGUGGAGGACGAGGACCAUGUAGGAGUUCAAGGGCUGGUUCAAUCUCAACUUCAGGUUGGCAUACCAUGAAAUUCCCGAUCUGUUUGGAUCACUCUAUGAUCUGGACUUGUGGUACUCCAUGGUGUGGAGCUUCAUGGACUGAUGGAUAUGUAAUUACCUAACUGCAGCAUUGAAGAAAAUGGGGGCAACUACCAUGACCCUCUCACUUCAUUGAUACACCCUUUGAUGGUAUAGAAGACCAAUAAAGGUUUCAGUUUCCCCAUCUUCACCUAACAAUGUAGUGUUUUUUAUAUGUAAUAUCUCUAACAAUCUUUGUCUGCUUAUACAUGGUUUUUACUAAGCCUAUGCAUACACAGUUUUAGCCACUUUUUGGUGUGAAACCAUCCCAGACCGUAGUCAGAUGAUUUGGAUGGUUUGGUUUUCAGGUUUCCACGGGUUGAACCGUUGAAGAAUAGUGGUCGACGUCAUGACCACGGUGACGGCCAACGGACUCGCUCGAGGCUGGAUCUUCUAAUGGCCUGAUCAGUCUACCUCGCCGAUGGCUAGAGGACUCACCGGUUCUGCUGCUUUCUUGCCGCCACCGGCGUGGGUACCGCAUGGAUGCUGAAGGACUCUGUUGCUUGCUCGCCUGGCUACUGCAAGGCUACUGACAAGCUAUACUGCGUGUUCUCUGGCAUAUUGGCAAGAUAAGUGGAUGUUAUGGAUGACAUUAUGAAUGCAACUUGCAAGGUGUAACAUGUCUUUAUCUGUCAAUACUCCUUGUGCACUAGCCAGACCACCAAUUUGCGUUGGCAUACCACCAAAGCCAGUAUGCCUCAUUGAUAAUUUUUUAAGUCACAGAGAUCCGCAUGACUUUGCUAUAUUCGGAUCUGAGGCCUCGGCGUGUUAGGCAUACUAUUAAAAACAAUAGAUAUAGGAUUAGGUAGAAUACUAUAUUAUGAUUUGCAACAUUGUAAAUGUUCUACUCUUGAGACACGUAUAUCAUGUAUGAGAUGGUGGUUCCAAUUAUAAAUGUUGAA
Molecule: non-coding RNA, 1340 nt
Organism: Lolium perenne
Lineage: Eukaryota; Viridiplantae; Streptophyta; Magnoliopsida; Poales; Poaceae
Source: RefSeq, a predicted model, not a curated record